This 524-nucleotide ribosomal RNA is filed under the name uncultured bacterium. Its description in RNAcentral is "bacterial LSU rRNA". It matches the Rfam family "Bacterial large subunit ribosomal RNA", at positions 2099 to 2619 of the family's 2925-position model. The record is from RNAcentral.
CUUUACUGCAACUUGGCAGUGAAUUUCGGAACACUCUGCGUAGGAUAGGUGGGAGGCGAUGAUACCGGGCUUCUGGGUUCGGAGUAGCCGUUGUUGAAAUACCACCCUGGGUGUUCUGGGAUUCUAACCUGCGUCUGUGAACCAGACGGGGGACACUGCCUGGCGGGCAGUUUGACUGGGGCGGUCGCCUCCCAAAAUGUAACGGAGGCGUGCGAAGGUUCCCUCAGCCUGAUUGGAAACCAGGCGAAGAGUGCAAAACGCAGAAGGGAGCUUAACUGCGAGACCGACAGGUCGAGCAGGUGCGAAAGCAGGUGUUAGUGAUCCGGUGGUCCUGCGUGGAAGGGCCAUCGCUCAUCGGAUAAAAGGUACUCUGGGGGAUAACAGGCUGAUCGCGCCUGAGAGUUCACAUCGGCGGCGCGGUUUGGCACCUCGAUGUCGGCCCAUCGCAUCCUGGGGCUGGAGCAGGUCCCAAGGGUUCGGCUGUUCGCCGAUUAAAGCGGUACGCGAGCUGGGUUUAAAAACGU